This 468-nucleotide ribosomal RNA is filed under the name uncultured bacterium. Its description in RNAcentral is "partial 16S ribosomal RNA". It matches the Rfam family "Bacterial small subunit ribosomal RNA", at positions 28 to 507 of the family's 1533-position model. The record is from RNAcentral.
GACGAACGCUGGCGGCGUGCUUAACACAUGCAAGUCGAACGGAAAGGCCCUGCUUUUGUGGGGUGCUCGAGUGGCGAACGGGUGAGUAACACGUGAGUAACCUGCCCUUGACUUUGGGAUAACUUCAGGAAACUGGGGCUAAUACCGGAUAGGAGCUCCUGCUGCAUGGUGGGGGUUGGAAAGUUUCGGCGGUUGGGGCUGGACUCGCGGCUUAUCAGCUUGUUGGUGGGGUAGUGGCUUACCAAGGCUUUGACGGGUAGCCGGCCUGAGAGGGUGAACGGCCACAUUGGGACUGAGAUACGGCGCAGACUGCUACGGGAGGCAGCAGUGGGGAAUAUUGCACAAUGGGCGGAAGCCUGAUGCAGCAACGCCGCGUGCGGGAUGACGGCCUUCGGGUUGUAAACCGCUUUCGCCUGUGACGAAGCGUGAGUGACGGUAAUGGGUAAAGAAGCACCGGCUAACUACGUG